RNAcentral lists this ribosomal RNA (497 nucleotides) under uncultured bacterium. Its description in RNAcentral is "partial 16S ribosomal RNA". It matches the Rfam family "Bacterial small subunit ribosomal RNA", at positions 28 to 507 of the family's 1533-position model. The record is from RNAcentral.
GAUGAACGCUGGCGGCGUGCCUAAUACAUGCAAGUCGAGCGAACAGACGAGGAGCUUGCUCCUCUGAUGUUAGCGGCGGACGGGUAAGUAACACGUGGAUAACCUACCUAUAAGACUGGGAUAACUUCGGGAAACCGGAGCUAAUACCGGAUAACAUUUUGAACCGCAUGGUUCAACAGUGAAAGACGGUCUUGCUGUCACUUAUAGAUGGAUCCGCGCCGCAUUAGCUAGUUGGUAAGGUAACGGCUUACCAAGGCAACGAUGCGUAGCCGACCUGAGAGGGUGAUCGGCCACACUGGAACUGAGACACGGUCCAGACUCCUACGGGAGGCAGCAGUAGGGAAUCUUCCGCAAUGGGCGAAAGCCUGACGGAGCAACGCCGCGUGAGUGAAGAAGGUCUUCGGAUCGUAAAACUCUGUUAUUAGGGAAGAACAAAUGUGUAAGUAACUAUGCACGUCUUGACGGUACCUAAUCAGAAAGCCACGGCUAACUACGUG